GCGUCCUAAAAAUUUAAAAAUAAAUAGUAAGUAACAUGUUUUACAAUGAGAAAAACAUUCUUAGAAAUAUAAUCAAAAUUAUUAAUAUUAAAUUUUUUUUGUUUUUUUUAAAUAAAAAUUUCUGACUUAAAAAAAACAGAUUAUUCCUCAGGGACAUUUCAAAACCAUAAAUUUAAGAGCACUUUUUUGAGUAUUACAUGUAUUAAGACGCAAAUUCGGUCAAUGUCUUUAAUGGAUUAAAAUUCAGUUGUUACUUCAUGGUUUCUAUUGAUCCAUAUUGACAUUAUUGGUAAUGUUUAAAAAUUAGAUUAUAAUCUCAUAAUCCUUAUAAAGUACAGACAUUCUUAACAGAGCAUAAUUACAUGUAUAAUACAGAUGUCUUUUCAUCUUUAAAUUCCCCAUGCAGACCUUGUGGUCUAUAGGGCAGAUGAUGUAAAGCUCAUCUGUUUCUGUGGUUUAUGGUUAACAAAGGUGUGUCCUGUGGCCAGCACAAUGACCAACCGCUUUUACUUUUCUCCAACUAAUGUCAGGUACCAUUAGAGCUAGGUUGACUUAGAGACGCCCCAAGAUCCCAAAAUUAAAAUUCUAAGUCUUCACCAUGAUUCGAACCCGGGACCCUCGGUUCAGAAGCCAAUCGCUUUACUGCUCAGUCACUGCACCUCCCUUUUUCAUCUUUGAGCUAUCAAAUGUUAUUGAUUGUUGAGGAAAAAACAUCUGAUAGCAUUAAGCUUGACUAAACAAGUUUUCUAGCAGAGGACAUCUUACUAUGUUUCAACACAAUUCUACCCAUCAUUUUAACCUCAGGAGUCUCAAUUUUCUCCAAUGCAUUGUUAACAUAAAUUCUGUUGAUAUCUUUUUUUUGAGAUCAAAAUAUGCUCAAUACAAAUUUCAUCUUAUAAGCUGAAGCAUAUUUCAGAUUGCUUUCAAACCUUAAUCUUUCACACCUUUGUGUUUAUUUGACCUGUGCCUUUUUUUUAAAACUAAGAUGAACUGUGCACUUCUGAAACCAGAGGAAUAACAUGCAUUUAUGAAGCUCAGAAUGAAGGAAAUCUGUUGGCACCCAGGCUCCUACGUUUGAACUAAUGAGAGAGUAUCACAAGGAAACAGUUGAGAAACACUGGUUUAUAUAAUUAUCUGAGAGAAAAGGAAAAGAUAUGCUUAAACCUAUUUACCUUCAUUUCAAUGAUUGAUGUUCUGUUUUCUCCAACACAUUCCUACAAAAGAAAUUUUAAAGGCAGAUAAAAAGCAAUGACACAUAUAUGAGUAUAUACUAAUUAUUAAUUCUUAAGACUACUGUGCCAUAUGACAAUCCUAUAGUUUAAAGGAAGAGUAACAUUUCUGGCCCAAAAGUUUGAUGAAGAUAUUAUAAUUUUUUAUUUUUUUUGCUUUGACAUUUGAGACAUUAGUAGGAAACAGAUAUUUAUCUACAAGGGAAUAUAGCAUUGACAAAUUGUCACACUUUUCUGAAGAGGAUCUUCUACGUGUUUGUUUGUGAAAUGUUUGACAUGUUUCGGAUGUUCCUUAUCUUAUUUUAUAUAAUACAGACGUUACUUCAAAAAAGAAGAUGAUUACGCCCUACGCGUCAUGCAUUCAGUCAUGCAUAUUAACCAAUGACUUGAACUCUGCCACGUCACUGGUUUUCCUGGCUAGCUCAGGCAACCCAUUCCAUGCUCUAAUAGCACUAGGGAAGAAGGAGUAUUUGUACAAAUUUGUCCUAGCAUAUGGGACGAGGAAAGUGCCUUUAUCUUUGUGUCUUUCAGAGUAUUUUAUUAAAUUUUGUUUUUGUAUCCUUCAGAGCUGAAGUUAGUUUACUUCCUAGUCCAAACCUCCAGCAGGAUGACGGGGGAUGGGAGCAGGCAGGAUUUGAACCCUUGACCAUCGAUAAAUCCGAACGACAGUCCAGCCCGCAAACCGCAUGACCAGGCAGCCAUCCUGUUCAGCAUAGUCCUUCACUUAUGAAUCCUUGAUGAACAGAACAAAACAAGACCAUCAUAACAAUGGAGCUCAAGUCUUGUACUGAACUAGUGUAAAGGAACCCACUGGCUCAAGAAGAUAUGGAAACUUUUCACCCUCCCUUGAAAUGUAAAAAUACAGUGUGUGUUUUAUUGGUGUGAAAUCAAUGUGUGCAAACCACGAGAGAACAUUGGUCAUCAGUUUCCUACUCUCCACCAACUCAUCAAAGAUCUGUUUGUUGCAAGCCAUUAAAUGGUUGCUUUGUUCUGCAAACAUGCUCAGGAUCAACUCCUGAUUCUGUUUGUAAAAGUUGGACACUAAAUUCUGAAGCUGAAAGAAGAAUUCAAGCCCUAGAGAGUAAAUGCUACAGAAAUUUGCUGGCUAUCAGAUACCAGGAAAUGAAGAACAUUAGUUUGUAAUAUUACAAGUCAACACUGUGUCUGGCAAAUAGGGGAAACUCCUCAAAAGUGUGAAGAGAGCUGGUUCGGACGUAUUUUGAGACAAGACUCAAGGUCAAAGGUCAUCCUUCAGGGUAAAUUUGAGGAAGCUCGAAGAAAGGGUUGUCCAAAGAAAAGCUGGCGGGACAGCACAAAAGAAUCUUGGACUGGCCUCUCUCUUGAUAUCCUGCUAAGAGCAGCUGCUCUCCUGGAAAAGUAGAGGGACUCGGUUACACAAACUAUCACAGCACUCCUACAAUGAAAGUCAAGGGACAGACGAUGAAGAUGAAUGUUUAAUAUGUUGAUUGUGUUAAAUAUAUUUGAAGCUGCAUGACAAAAAAAACAACAAUU
Molecule: long non-coding RNA, 2741 nt
Organism: Biomphalaria glabrata
Lineage: Eukaryota; Metazoa; Mollusca; Gastropoda; Planorbidae
Exons: 3
Source: RefSeq, a predicted model, not a curated record